CGCUGGCGGCGUGCUUCAUACAUGCAAGUCGAACGAUAAGGUUCCUUCGGGAAUACAUAAGUGGCGGACGGGUGAGUAAUAUGUAGAGAAUCUGCCCUGAAGAGGGGGACAACAGAGGGAAACUUCUGCUAAUACCCCAUAUGCGCGUAGUUGAGAUACUAUUCGUGAAAGAUUUAUCGCUUCAGGAUGAGUCUGCAUCUGAUUAGCUAGUUGGGGUGUAAUGGACCACCAAGGCGACGAUCAGUAGCUGGUUUGAGAGGAUGAUCAGCCACAAUGGGACUGAGACACGGCCCAUACUCCUACGGGAGGCAGCAGUAGGGAAUUUUGCGCAAUGGGCGAAAGCCUGACGCAAGCAACGCCGCGUGAUCGCAGACGGCCUUCGGGUUGUAAAGAUCUGUCAGUAGGGACGAAAAUGACUGUACCUACAGAGGAAGCACCGGCUAACUCCGUGCCAGCAGCGGC
This 462-nucleotide ribosomal RNA is filed under the name uncultured bacterium. RNAcentral's name for it is "bacterial SSU rRNA". It matches the Rfam family "Bacterial small subunit ribosomal RNA", at positions 34 to 518 of the family's 1533-position model. The record is from RNAcentral.